RNAcentral lists this ribosomal RNA (451 nucleotides) under uncultured bacterium. RNAcentral's name for it is "bacterial SSU rRNA". It matches the Rfam family "Bacterial small subunit ribosomal RNA", at positions 354 to 796 of the family's 1533-position model. The record is from RNAcentral.
GUGGGGAAUAUUGGACAAUGGGGGGAACCCUGAUCCAGCCAUGCCGCGUGUGUGAAGAAGGCCUUUUGGUUGUAAAGCACUUUAAGCGAGGAGGAGGAGCUCUUGGUUAAUACCCAGGAUGCUUGGACGUUACUCGCAGAAUAAGCACCGGCUAACUCUGUGCCAGCAGCCGCGGUAAUACAGAGGGUGCAAGCGUUAAUCGGAUUUACUGGGCGUAAAGCGCGCGUAGGUGGCCAAUUAAGUCAAAUGUGAAAUCCCCGAGCUUAACUUGGGAAUUGCAUUCGAUACUGGUUGGCUAGAGUAUGGGAGAGGAUGGUAGAAUUCCAGGUGUAGCGGUGAAAUGCGUAGAGAUCUGGAGGAAUACCGAUGGCGAAGGCAGCCAUCUGGCCUAAUACUGACACUGAGGUGCGAAAGCAUGGGGAGCAAACAGGAUUAGAAACCCUAGUAGUCC